This 416-nucleotide ribosomal RNA is filed under the name uncultured bacterium. RNAcentral's name for it is "bacterial SSU rRNA". It matches the Rfam family "Bacterial small subunit ribosomal RNA", at positions 355 to 787 of the family's 1533-position model. The record is from RNAcentral.
UGGGGGAUAUUGCACAAUGGGGGGAACCCUGAUGCAGCGACGCCGCGUGAGCGAAGAAGUAUUUCGGUAUGUAAAGCUCUAUCAGCAGGGAAGAAGACGACGGUACCUGACUAAGAAGCUCCGGCUAAAUACGUGCCAGCAGCCGCGGUAAUACGUAUGGAGCAAGCGUUAUCCGGAUUUACUGGGUGUAAAGGGAGCGUAGGCGGCCUGGCAAGUCUGGUGUGAAAGGGCCGGGGCCCAACCCCGGGACUGCAUUGGAAACUGCCAGGCUGGAGUGCCGGAGGGGCAGGCGGAAUUCCUAGUGUAGCGGUGAAAUGCGUAGAUAUUAGGAAGAACACCAGUGGCGAAGGCGGGUUACUGGACGACAACUGACGGUGAGGCGCGAAAGCGUGGGGAGCAAACAGGAUUAGAUACCC